This 440-nucleotide ribosomal RNA is filed under the name uncultured bacterium. Its description in RNAcentral is "bacterial SSU rRNA". It matches the Rfam family "Bacterial small subunit ribosomal RNA", at positions 339 to 796 of the family's 1533-position model. The record is from RNAcentral.
UUACGGGAGGCAGCAGUGGGGAAUAUUGGACAAUGGGCGCAAGCCUGAUCCAGCCAUGCCGCGUGAGUGAUGAAGGCCCUAGGGUUGUAAAGCUCUUUCGCCAGGGACGAUAAUGACGGUACCUGGAUAAGAAGCCCCGGCUAACUUCGUGCCAGCAGCCGCGGUAAUACGAAGGGGGCUAGCGUUGUUCGGAAUCACUGGGCGUAAAGCGCACGUAGGCGGAUCUUUAAGUCAGGGGUGAAAUCCCGAGGCUCAACCUCGGAACUGCCUUUGAUACUGGAGGUCUCGAGUCCGGGAGAGGUGAGUGGAACUGCGAGUGUAGAGGUGAAAUUCGUAGAUAUUCGCAAGAACACCAGUGGCGAAGGCGGCUCACUGGCCCGGAACUGACGCUGAGGUGCGAAAGCGUGGGGAGCAAACAGGAUUAGAUACCCGGGUAGUCC